RNAcentral lists this transfer RNA (76 nucleotides) under Syntrophomonadaceae bacterium. Its description in RNAcentral is "tRNA-Asp". It matches the Rfam family "tRNA". From Rfam's summary of the family: Transfer RNA (tRNA) molecules are approximately 80 nucleotides in length. Their secondary structure includes four short double-helical elements and three loops (D, anti-codon, and T loops). The record is from RNAcentral. Lineage: Bacteria; Bacillati; Bacillota; Clostridia; Eubacteriales; Syntrophomonadaceae.
GGAGCUGUGGUGUAGAGGUUAUCACGCCGGCCUGUCAAGCCGGAGAUCGCGGGUUCAAGUCCCGUCAGCUCCGCCA